GUCUUCAUGGUAUAAUCGGAAACAUUCUCGACUCGUAUUCGAGAGAUCCAGGGUUCGAGUCCCAGGAAGGCA
This 72-nucleotide transfer RNA is filed under the name Stegodyphus mimosarum. It matches the Rfam family "tRNA". From Rfam's summary of the family: Transfer RNA (tRNA) molecules are approximately 80 nucleotides in length. Their secondary structure includes four short double-helical elements and three loops (D, anti-codon, and T loops). Further hydrogen bonds mediate the characteristic L-shaped molecular structure. tRNAs have two regions of fundamental functional importance: the anti-codon, which is responsible for specific mRNA codon recognition, and the 3' end, to which the tRNAs corresponding amino acid is attached (by aminoacyl-tRNA synthetases). tRNAs cope with the degeneracy of the genetic code in two manners: having more than one tRNA (with a specific anti-codon) for a particular amino acid; and 'wobble' base-pairing, i.e. permitting non-standard base-pairing at the 3rd anti-codon position. Lineage: Eukaryota; Metazoa; Arthropoda; Arachnida; Araneae; Eresidae. The record is from Rfam by way of RNAcentral.